This 254-nucleotide ribosomal RNA is filed under the name uncultured bacterium. RNAcentral describes it as "partial 16S ribosomal RNA". It matches the Rfam family "Bacterial small subunit ribosomal RNA", at positions 103 to 353 of the family's 1533-position model. The record is from RNAcentral.
CGGGUGAGUAACGCGUGGGUAACCUGCCUUAUACAGGGGGAGUAACAAGUCAGAAAUGGCUGCUAAUACCGCAUAAGCGCACAGAGCUGCAUGGCUCAGUGUGAAAAACUCCGGUGGUAUAAGAUGGACCCGCGUUGGAUUAGCUUGUUGGUGGGGUAACGGCCCACCAAGGCGACGAUCCAUAGCCGGCCUGAGAGGGUGAACGGCCACAUUGGGACUGAGACACGGCCCAGACUCCUACGGGAGGCAGCAUG